AUUAUAUCUUACAUGUGGUGCAACAAUGCUUGGCACUUUCUAGGAUUUUACAGUGGAUAAUUGCAAGAAAAUUCCACAAGAAAAGAAAAGAAAAAAACAAGAAUAAAAUCCUUGACAAAAAUGUGGGAUCAAGGGAAAAAAUUAUCCUCUUCAUUAACCUAAUGAUAAAUGACUUUAGUAGUUUUUUUUUUUUUUUUUUUUUUUUUUUUAUUUCUUGUAUGUACAGCAGCAUUUUUCUCUUUAUCUGGAGUCUGGACCUUCAAUCUGGGAGCAAAGAAUGGUAAUUAGAGCUCUGUUUUCAUGUGGGAGACUUGAUUUGAACCAGUAAAGUUGCGUGCCUGCAAUGUCGUUUCCUGGUUAAGAUUCUGGCUAAAACCCAUCUGAACAAUGGUUUGGAGAUCAUCCUCACAGAAUGUUGGAUACUGAGGGCCAUUAUGGUUAAAUCCUUCAAGUGGGGCUAACUGCAUAUUGAGGCUUUGGCAUAGUCCUGUAUCUAAUGGGUCCACAGAGGAGCAUUGGGUCACUGUCCCAUUAGAAAUGUUGCGAUGCAGUGCUGGAUUUUGCUGGGGUUGGUGGCCAAAAAUGGCUGACGCCGAGGAAUCUAAUGGGAAUAUUGGAUG
RNAcentral lists this unclassified non-coding RNA (620 nucleotides) under Hevea brasiliensis (rubber tree). The record is from RNAcentral. Lineage: Eukaryota; Viridiplantae; Streptophyta; Magnoliopsida; Malpighiales; Euphorbiaceae.